UGGGGAAUCUUGGACAAUGGGCACAAGCCUGAUCCAGCCAUGCCGCGUGGAUGAUGAAGGCCUUAGGGUUGUAAAAUCCUUUCGUUGGGGACGAUAAUGACGGUACCCAAAGAAGAAGCUCCGGCUAACUUCGUGCCAGCAGCCGCGGUAAUACGAAGGGGGCUAGCGUUGUUCGGAUUUACUGGGCGUAAAGCGUACGUAGGCGGUUAUUCAAGUCAGAGGUGAAAGCCCGGGGCUCAACCCCGGAACUGCCUUUGAAACUAGAUAGCUAGAAUCUUGGAGAGGUCAGUGGAAUUCCGAGUGUAGAGGUGAAAUUCGUAGAUAUUCGGAAGAACACCAGUGGCGAAGGCGAACUGACUGGACAAGUAUUGACGCUGAGGUACGAAAGCGUGGGGAGCAAACAGGAUUAGAUACCCCAGUAGUCCCUGAGCGGGCUGGCAAGGCGCAU
Molecule: ribosomal RNA, 448 nt
Filed under: uncultured bacterium
Lineage: Bacteria
Description: bacterial SSU rRNA
Rfam family: Bacterial small subunit ribosomal RNA
Source: RNAcentral